RNAcentral lists this ribosomal RNA (287 nucleotides) under Escherichia coli. Its description in RNAcentral is "partial 16S ribosomal RNA". It matches the Rfam family "Bacterial small subunit ribosomal RNA", at positions 1 to 284 of the family's 1533-position model. Lineage: Bacteria; Pseudomonadati; Pseudomonadota; Gammaproteobacteria; Enterobacterales; Enterobacteriaceae. RNAcentral also lists the same sequence under 1 other name. The record is from RNAcentral.
AAAUUGAAGAGUUUGAUCAUGGCUCAGAUUGAACGCUGGCGGCAGGCCUAACACAUGCAAGUCGAACGGUAACAGGAAACAGCUUGCUGUUUCGCUGACGAGUGGCGGACGGGUGAGUAAUGUCUGGGAAACUGCCUGAUGGAGGGGGAUAACUACUGGAAACGGUAGCUAAUACCGCAUAAUGUCGCAAGACUAAAGAGGGGGACCUUCGGGCCUCUUGCCAUCGGAUGUGCCCAGAUGGGAUUAGCUAGUAGGUGGGGUAACGGCUCACCUAGGCGACGAUCCCU